Pteropus alecto (black flying fox) is the source of this 73-nucleotide non-coding RNA. NCBI's taxonomy places the organism in Eukaryota, Metazoa, Chordata, Mammalia, Chiroptera, Pteropodidae. The record is from Rfam.
GGUUCCAUAGUGUAGCGCUUAGCACGUCUGCUUUACACGCAGAAAUCCCUGGGUUUGUGCCCCAGUGGAGCCA